UGGGUCGUCGUUUCUUCGCGGAUGCAACUUUUGGGCAUGUCUUUCACUCCGUCGUGGUGUGUGAGGUUUGUUCUCGUGGUUUGUGGUGAGUGUUGGCGAAUUGAAGUGUUUUAUUGCAGAACUUUCUUGGCUCUGUUACUUUCAUGUUUGGAUCUGGUCAUAGGUCUUCUAUACUGUUGAUGGUUGCUUCUUCCGGAUUCGGGUAGAGAUUAAGCUGUGGUUAGACGGUUCUUCGGCAGCAGCGGUUGCGUGUGGCUCUUGGUGUAUCGGCUUGUUGGUCUCC
RNAcentral lists this long non-coding RNA (283 nucleotides) under Brassica napus (rape). RNAcentral describes it as "long non-coding RNA (BNAP_LNC021983)". Lineage: Eukaryota; Viridiplantae; Streptophyta; Magnoliopsida; Brassicales; Brassicaceae. The record is from RNAcentral.